CAUGGCUGAAGGUUAUUGUUAGGCACAAUGCAGCCUUGGGUGUGUUAUUGAUUUCAUGAAAUAGUUACCACAUGAUAAUUUAGGAGUAACAGAAUGUUUAUAUGCAACAAAACAAAUCAAACAUGACUGAAAAAUCUUGCCAAAGUCUUCCAUAUUUUUUUAAACGUACAGACAGGCAUGUUUGAUUAUGCUUCAGGUGCCCUGCUCUAAUGUGUAUGUUACAUACCUCCACAGUUGUGAAUUUAACUUGGUGGCCUUGGCGCUUGCUCGAAGGUGACAUAUGUUCACCUUAUCAUUAAUUCUGAGCUUGGACAAGGCCUGGUCCCGCCAUAAGGACACCUCAAGGAUCCUGGAGCCGCUUUUGAUCCCCACGUCCAAGAUGGGGACUUCUGUGUCCCUCACAGUCGUCAUCCUUGGAACCUGCAUCUAUAAAGUUAUGGAGUUGUGCAGUGAUAAAUGAGUUUGUCAUUGGUGGAUGGCAGUCGUAAGGUGUACAGACAUCUUGAGGGGAAAUUAAUGGGAAAGUAACCUACACAAAUGAAAUGACCGUUAUCAGCUCGUCAGCACGUGAUUGAUCAUAGCCAAUGAGACCGCUGGAACUUUGAACAGGAAGUCAACCGCUUUUCCCGCCCGUGUUCCCCCAGUGUGAUUGCUUCCUUCAGAAUACUUGAGGAGCGUCUCGCUGCAGCCUGCGGUGGACAUCCAACCCGGCCCACAUCCAAGUGUGACGUCACAGACCACGCCCAUGUCACAAUACGUCACAUUCUCAAUCAUUUUGAAACAGGAAGAAGCAUCAAUAAGAAGAUAAUUUGUAUUGUUUGCCAACCGCUAAAAAAGAAGCUGUUGUUUGCCGUGUCGCAUUCUACACAUUUUCAGUCCAAGCCUGAUGCAGGGCAGUUCUCCCGGGUUAAGGGGUCCCUGCUGCAGUUUCACCAGUAAAGAAAAUUACUUGUUACAGUUCACUUGAAGGACCACAUAAGCCAUGCAGUGGUGCAUGGAGGAGCGCCAAGAGGACAUAAAGUGGAAGUUUGUAAGGGACAUUGGUCCAGCGUGGUACAGAGUCAUCGUGGGUUAUUCUGUGGGGAGGUGACAGGGCCUGCCGUUCUCCAGAUGGACAGUAAAAAUCAACAGAAUGCCAUCAAAGACUACCUGGAGGGAGAAUCGGAGGAUAUAUUGAAGCAAGGACUCUCUCUGUGUAGUCUAUGUAUGUAUGUGUGUGUACUGCAUGUCAAGAACUGUUUAUCUGAUCAUUCAGCUGCUCAUUCAGCUGCUCAGACUUUAUAAUAUUUGGAGCAUACCUUUUGUUAAACACAACCAGUCAAAAGUUUUUGAACAGUGAGUUUUUUUAUGUUUUUAAAGAAAUAUCUUCUGCUCAUCAAGCCUGCAUUUAUUUAAUCCGAAGUACAGCAAAAACAGU
Cyprinus carpio carpio is the source of this 1417-nucleotide long non-coding RNA. Lineage: Eukaryota; Metazoa; Chordata; Actinopteri; Cypriniformes; Cyprinidae. The record is from Ensembl.